RNAcentral lists this ribosomal RNA (548 nucleotides) under uncultured bacterium. RNAcentral's name for it is "bacterial SSU rRNA". It matches the Rfam family "Bacterial small subunit ribosomal RNA", at positions 355 to 896 of the family's 1533-position model. The record is from RNAcentral.
UAGGGAAUNUUCCGCAAUGGGCGAAAGCCUGACGGAGCAACGCCGCGUGAGUGAAGAAGGAUUUCGGUUCGUAAAGCUCUGUUGUUAGGGAAGAAUGAUUGUGUAGUAACUAUACAUAGUAGAGACGGUACCUAACCAGAAAGCCACGGCUAACUACGUGCCAGCAGCCGCGGUAAUACGUAGGUGGCAAGCGUUGUCCGGAAUUAUUGGGCGUAAAGCGCGCGCAGGUGGUUUAAUAAGUCUGAUGUGAAAGCCCACGGCUCAACCGUGGAGGGUCAUUGGAAACUGUUAAACUUGAGUGCAGGAGAGAAAAGUGGAAUUCCUAGUGUAGCGGUGAAAUGCGUAGAGAUUAGGAGGAACACCAGUGGCGAAGGCGGCUUUUUGGCCUGUAACUGACACUGAGGCGCGAAAGCGUGGGGAGCAAACAGGAUUAGAUACCCUGGUAGUCCACGCCGUAAACGAUGAGUGCUAAGUGUUGGUCUCAUAAGAGAUCAGUGCUGCAGCUAACGCAUUAAGCACUCCGCCUGGGGAGUACGACCGCAAGGUUG